GAUGAGCGCUGGCGUCGUGCCUAAUACAUGCAAGUCGAGCGAACGGACGAGAAGCUUGCUUUUCUGAUGUUAGCGGCGGACGGGUGAGUAACACGUGGAUAACCUACCUAUAAGACUGGGAUAACUUCGGGAAACCGGAGCUAAUACCGGAUAAUAUUUUGAACCGCAUGGUUCAAAAGUGAAAGACGGUCUUGCUGUCACUUAUAGAUGGAUCCGCGCUGCAUUAGCUAGUUGGUAAGGUAACGGCUUACCAAGGCAACGAUGCAUAGCCGACCUGAGAGGGUGAUCGGCCACACUGGAACUGAGACACGGUCCAGACUCCUACGGGAGGCAGCAGUAGGGAAUCUUCCGCAAUGGGCGAAAGCCUGACGGAGCAACGCCGCGUGAGUGAUGAAGGUCUUCGGAUCGUAAAACUCUGUUAUUAGGGAAGAACAUAUGUGUAAGUAACUGUGCACAUCUUGACGGUACCUAAUCAGAAAGCCACGGCUAACUACGUG
RNAcentral lists this ribosomal RNA (497 nucleotides) under uncultured bacterium. Its description in RNAcentral is "partial 16S ribosomal RNA". It matches the Rfam family "Bacterial small subunit ribosomal RNA", at positions 28 to 507 of the family's 1533-position model. The record is from RNAcentral.